RNAcentral lists this ribosomal RNA (253 nucleotides) under uncultured bacterium. RNAcentral describes it as "partial 16S ribosomal RNA". It matches the Rfam family "Bacterial small subunit ribosomal RNA", at positions 524 to 776 of the family's 1533-position model. The record is from RNAcentral.
UACGAAGGUGGCAGGCGUUGUUCGGAUUUACUGGGCGUACAGGGAGCGUAGGCGGUUGGAUAAGCCCUCCGUGAAAUCUCCAGGCUUAACCUGGAAAGUGCAGAGGGGACUGUUCAGCUAGAGGAUGGGAGAGGAGCGCGGAAUUCCCGGUGUAGCGGUGAAAUGCGUAGAGAUCGGGAGGAAGGCCGGUGGCGAAGGCGGCGCUCUGGAACAUUUCUGACGCUGAGGCUCGAAAGCGUGGGGAGCAAACAGG